CAGCAGCCGCGGUAAUACGGAGGGUGCAAGCGUUAUCCGGAUUCACUGGGUUUAAAGGGUGCGUAGGUGGGCAGAUAAGUCAGUGGUGAAAUCUCUGGGCUUAACCCGGAAACUGCCAUUGAUACUAUUUGUCUUGAAUUCUCUGGAGGUAAGCGGAAUAUGUCAUGUAGCGGUGAAAUGCUUAGAUAUGACAUAGAACACCCAUUGCGAAGGCAGCUUACUACGGAGAUAUUGACACUGAGGCACGAAAGCGUGGGGAUCAAACAGGAUUAGAUACCCUGGUAGUCCACGCCCUAAACGAUGAUUACUCGACAUUAGCGAUACUACUGUUAGUGUCUAAGCGAAAGCAUUAAGUAAUCCACCUGGGAAGUACGACCGCAAGGUUGAAACUCAAAGGAAUUGACGG
RNAcentral lists this ribosomal RNA (406 nucleotides) under uncultured bacterium. RNAcentral describes it as "bacterial SSU rRNA". It matches the Rfam family "Bacterial small subunit ribosomal RNA", at positions 509 to 916 of the family's 1533-position model. The record is from RNAcentral.